CGGGAGGCAGCAGUAGGGAAUAUUGCACAAUGGGCGCAAGCCUGAUGCAGCGACGCCGCGUGAGGGAUGACGGCCUUCGGGUUGUAAACCUCUUUCAGUAGGGACGAAGCGAAAGUGACGGUACCUACAGAAGAAGGACCGGCCAACUACGUGCCAGCAGCCGCGGUAGUACGUAGGGUCCGAGUGUUGUCCGGAAUUACUGGGCGUAAAGAGCUCGUAGGUGGUUUGUCGCGUUGUUCGUGAAAACUCACAGCUUAACUGUGGGCGUGCGGGCGAUACGGGCAGACUAGAGUACUGCAGGGGAGACUGGAAUUCCUGGUGUAGCGGUGGAAUGCGCAGAUAUCAGGAGGAACACCGGUGGCGAAGGCGGGUCUCUGGGCAGUAACUGACGCUGAGGAGCGAAAGCGUGGGUAGCGAACAGGAUUAGAUACCCUGGUAGUCCACGCCGUAAGCGGUGGGUACUAGGUGUGGGUUUCCUUCCUUGGGAUCCGUGCCGUAGCUAACGCAUUAAGCACUCCGCCUGGGGAG
This 528-nucleotide ribosomal RNA is filed under the name Mycobacteroides abscessus subsp. bolletii. RNAcentral describes it as "bacterial SSU rRNA". It matches the Rfam family "Bacterial small subunit ribosomal RNA", at positions 342 to 880 of the family's 1533-position model. Lineage: Bacteria; Bacillati; Actinomycetota; Actinomycetes; Mycobacteriales; Mycobacteriaceae. The record is from RNAcentral.